UACGAAGGGGGCUAGCGUUGCUCGGAAUGACUGGGCGUAAAGGGCGCGUAGGCGGUUUGUUCAGUCAGAUGUGAAAUUCCUGGGCUCAACCUGGGGGCUGCAUUUGAUACGUAUGGACUGGAGUGAGGAAGAGGGUCGUGGAAUUCCCAGUGUAGAGGUGAAAUUCGUAGAUAUUGGGAAGAACACCGGUGGCGAAGGCGGCGACCUGGUCCUUUACUGACGCUGAGGCGCGAAAGCGUGGGGAGCAAACAGG
RNAcentral lists this ribosomal RNA (253 nucleotides) under uncultured bacterium. RNAcentral describes it as "partial 16S ribosomal RNA". It matches the Rfam family "Bacterial small subunit ribosomal RNA", at positions 524 to 776 of the family's 1533-position model. The record is from RNAcentral.